GUGAAUUACAUACAAUAAGCGGAGGAAAAGAAACCAACAGGGAUUGCCCUAGUAACGGCGAGUGAAGCGGCAACAGCUCAAAUUUGAAAUCUGGCGCAAGCCCGAGUUGUAAUUUGUAGAGGAUGCUUCUGGCCAGCGGCCGUUCUAAGUUCCUUGGAACAGGACGUCAUAGAGGGUGAGAAUCCCGUAUGUGACCGGCGCGCAGCCUUUACGUAGCUCCUUCGACGAGUCGAGUUGUUUGGGAAUGCAGCUCUAAAUGGGAGGUAAAUUUCUUCUAAAGCUAAAUACCGGCCAGAGACCGAUAGCGCACAAGUAGAGUGAUCGAAAGAUGAAAAGCACUUUGGAAAGAGAGUUAAAAAGCACGUGAAAUUGUUGAAAGGGAAGCGCUUGCAACCAGACUUCGUAGCGAUGUUCCGCUGGUCUUCUGACCGGUCUACUCAUCGUCGCGAGGCCAACAUCGUCUGGGCCCGCUGGAUAAGACCUAAGGAAUGUAGCUUCCCUCGGGAAGUGUUAUAGCCUGUGGUGAUGCAGCGUGGCUCGGGCGAGGUCCGCGCUUCGGCAAGGAUGUUGGCGUAAUGGUUGUCAGCGGCCCGUCUUGAAACACGGACCAAGGAGUCUAACAUCUAUGCGAGUGUUCGGGUGUCAAACCCCUACGCGUAAUGAAAGUGAACGGAGGUGGGAAGCGCAAGCUGCACCAUCGACCGAUCCUGAUGUCCUCGGAUGGAUUUGAGUAAGAGCAUAGCUGUUGGGACCCGAAAGAUGGUGAACUAUGCCUGAAUAGGGUGAAGCCAGAGGAAACUCUGGUGGAGGCUCGCAGCGGUUCUGACGUGCAAAUCGAUCGUCAAAUUUGGGUAUAGGGGCGAAAGACUAAUCGAACCAUCUAUAGCUGGUCUCA
RNAcentral lists this ribosomal RNA (895 nucleotides) under Pseudocercosporella bidentis. Its description in RNAcentral is "eukaryotic LSU rRNA". It matches the Rfam family "Eukaryotic large subunit ribosomal RNA", at positions 28 to 959 of the family's 3401-position model. The record is from RNAcentral. Lineage: Eukaryota; Fungi; Ascomycota; Dothideomycetes; Mycosphaerellales; Mycosphaerellaceae.